Molecule: long non-coding RNA, 314 nt
Filed under: Penaeus japonicus
Lineage: Eukaryota; Metazoa; Arthropoda; Malacostraca; Decapoda; Penaeidae
Description: uncharacterized LOC122244321
Source: RNAcentral
CAGCAGUCGCAGGAGAUACAGUCUCACUAUUCGCUCUUUCCAAUAGAGCCUUUUGGAAGGCGGUGGACAAGAUCCUAACUUCUUGUUAGAAUUGAUUCGAGAGGACAAACAGCUGGCAAGAUGUUAUUCUUAGAUUGUACAGAGGCGUGGGAGCGAACCUUCUCAAAAAGAAAAAAAGAAAAAGGAAAAGAAAUAGAAGAAAAAAAAACAACUAAAAACGUUUUGACGAUGAUGGACCGUUUGGGAAAAGGGAAGUGAUGCUUUGCCGAAAAAAAAAACGUUUGGGAGAAGAGGGGAAUGGAGACAAAAGAAGA